Molecule: ribosomal RNA, 889 nt
Filed under: Zasmidium lonicericola
Lineage: Eukaryota; Fungi; Ascomycota; Dothideomycetes; Mycosphaerellales; Mycosphaerellaceae
Description: LSU rRNA
Rfam family: Eukaryotic large subunit ribosomal RNA
Source: RNAcentral
AGCAUAUCAAUAAGCGGAGGAAAAGAAACCAACAGGGAUUGCCCUAGUAACGGCGAGUGAAGCGGCAACAGCUCAAAUUUGAAACCUGGCGCUUGCGUCCGGAUUGUAAUUUGCAGAGGAUGCUUCUGGGCAGCGGCCGGUUUAAGUUCCUUGGAAAAGGACGUCACAGAGGGUGAGAACCCCGUAUGUGACCGGCGCGCACCCUCCACGUAGCUCCUUCGACGAGUCGAGUUGUUUGGGAAUGCAGCUCUAAAUGGGAGGUAAAUUUCUUCUAAAGCUAAAUAUUGGCCCGAGACCGAUAGCGCACAAGUAGAGUGAUCGAAAGAUGAAAAGCACUUUGGAAAGAGAGUUAAAAAGCACGUGAAAUUGUUGAAAGGGAAGCGCUUCCCACCAGACUCCGCGGCGGUGUUCCGCCGGUCUUCUGACCGGUCCACUCGCCGCCGUGGGGCCAGCAUCGUCUGGGGCCGCCGGAUAAGACCGCAGGAAUGUAGCUCAUUGAGUGUUAUAGCCUGCGGGGAUGCGGCGCGCCCCGGGCGAGGUCCGCGCUUCGGCAAGGAUGCUGGCGUAAUGGUGGGCAGCGGCCCGUCUUGAAACACGGACCAAGGAGUCUAACAUCUAUGCGAGUGUUCGGGUGUCAAACCCCUACGCGUAAUGAAAGUGAACGGAGGUGGGAGCUUCGGCGCACCAUCGACCGAUCCUGAUGUCCUCGGAUGGAUUUGAGUAAGAGCAUAGCUGUUGGGACCCGAAAGAUGGUGAACUAUGCCUGAAUAGGGUGAAGCCAGAGGAAACUCUGGUGGAGGCUCGCAGCGGUUCUGACGUGCAAAUCGAUCGUCAAAUUUGGGCAUAGGGGCGAAAGACUAAUCGAACCAUCUAGUAGCUGGUUCCUGCG